UUAGGGAUGAUUGCAUCACAAAACUCAGAGUUCUUAAGCUCUACAGGGUGGGAGCUUUUUAAAGUGAGACAUUCAGAAGCUUAAUCUAACCUAAGGAAGUGGGGAAAACUAAGAUUGUAAACUUCAAUUCACUUUUUGAGUAGAUGAUCUGUUCCUGGGAAACAACUCUCGGAUGGGAAGCUGGGCUUGUUUGUCUGAAGGAGGAGCCUUCAGGGUGAUGUUGCUGAGCUGCAAGGGCAGCUCUGUCAUAGCUGGAUGCAGUAACCACUAUCAGAGGCAGAAGGAUGUCUCUUCUUCAUACACUGACUAAUCUUGGUCUGCUGUUUGAAGAGGAAGCUGUGAAUAAGAAUAGCACAAGAAGAUAAACAGCUACUUCAAAACAAAUUUUUCCAGCUCUCUUCCAAAUACAAAACGUUAUUGCUAUGUGCUGUGCUGCAAUUGAAGGCAACUUGGUUGUGACAGUUCAUGAGGCAAGCAUCAAAGAGCAAUUAGUGUCGGCACUGCAAAGCUGAACUAAUGUAAGAUCUGACUUCAUGUCAACAAAUGCACCAACAAUCAUGGCAGAGAUUUGCAUCUGUGAAGGCUGCGAUGGAAGCCCACCACCACUGAUUCUGGGAGUAGGAAGGAUCACUAACUCACCCUCAGCCCAUUGCAAAACCCUCUUGUUUUGGCAGGAAGGAGUAUUGAUCAGUCAGACUUCCCAUAGGUCCAGCACAGGUGAAGCUGGCAGGAAGCCCACAGCCGUUUUGUUCUUCACAGCCGUCUGCUGCUCAAGGCAACUGCUUGUUUUGCUCCUACCUGGAGCUGGCCGUGAAAAUUGACUGCCAUUAAAGACAGCCCACAUAGCACAUUUGUCAGUUUAAUUAAAUUAGCUUAAGAUCUCAUCUGCUAAAUAGAUGCAGCUUUCUUACAUAUUCAAGGGCUUUUUUUCAAGGGCUCUGUGUACAGCAUUGAGCCUGCCAGGGCUCUGACCUCACUGGGCAUCUUGAAGCAGAAUCAGGUGCUGACUAAAUACAGUUUUAUUUAGGGUGAAAGCACAUGUCCUUUGACUUAAGAUAAUGGUACUCCGCAGAGCUGUGUGAGCCUGCUAUUAGCCAACGGUCUCUGUAAAAAUGCUCAGUGAUGCUGCAGAGGGAAACAGGAUAAAACUAAACUGCCUUGUGCCAAGUGAUAAAACCCUUUGCAUAUGGCUGUACUACUAUCCUUUGCCCUUAUAAUGCCUUUCACAGAAGGAUCUUGAGACAUUUUCCAGACGUUAGUUAAUUAAUCUCCAUAACAUCCCUGUGAAUUAGGUGACUUAUCUGCUGUUUUACAGACGGGUGAACUAAGGCGCGUAGAGGUUAAGUGUCUUUCCUGAAGUUAAACAGUGAAUUAGAGGGAAAUGUUGGGAGUAAAAUGAAGGGCUACCGUUCUGUUUAACAGCCAUGUUCUUUCAUCAACACUGUUCUUAGCCGAGAAAGCUACCUCUCUCUCUUUAGACCAUGUCCUGUUUAAAAGGAAAUUGGUUAAGUUCAAAAAUUUCUAUGGCUGUUUGCAAAACAUGAGCUCAUUAGUAAGUAUUUUACUUGUAAUUUAAAUACAUGACAUGGAUUCUUGGGCAUUAAGUGGAAGAUUGUGCUAUGUAAAACAGUGAUUUCUUCUUUGAAGCCAAUUAAAUCCUUCUCACAAGGGAACAAAACUGUGUUUAAAGACACCAACCGCAUGUGUGUGUUUUGUCAAAAAAACACUAACACCUCAAACUGUAAAGUAUGUUUUUGAAUGGCUUCCAAGUCUGGCAGUAUAAGCUCUCUUGCACCUUAG
This is a non-coding RNA of Meleagris gallopavo (turkey), 1800 nucleotides long. Lineage: Eukaryota; Metazoa; Chordata; Aves; Galliformes; Phasianidae. The record is from RefSeq and is a predicted model, not a curated record.